This 908-nucleotide long non-coding RNA is filed under the name Zonotrichia albicollis (white-throated sparrow). Its description in RNAcentral is "lncRNA (ENSZALG00000013471.1)". Lineage: Eukaryota; Metazoa; Chordata; Aves; Passeriformes; Passerellidae. The record is from RNAcentral.
UUCCUCAUCAAUUCCACUGUUCUUGUAUUGUAUUGUGCUGAUGGAAACAAAUUCUGUGAUUUCAGAAACAAAGGACGCUGAUGCUGCUUUUCAUCCUUCUGCCCAAGGAGAAUAAAUGUUUGUGCAAACCUUUUUUCAUGUGGCUGCCCAGAAAUGACCCGAGUGAAGCCAAGAAGUUGAACAUUAAGCAACCUCGCCCUGGUGAUGCUGCUGAAAUGAGAGUGAAGUUGAAGAAAGGCCCUUGUCCUCAGGUAUUAUUUGUAAACAGAACUUCUCCUCCCAUCCCAAGCAGCCUCUGGGGUUUCUCUCCCUCCCAGAAGCCAAGCUGUGCGCGGAGCCACGGAAGGAAGGUGCGACCCUACGGCGCGCGCAACAAAGUACAGAAACAAGAUCAUUAACAUCUUAAUAUCCUGCCCUGACAUCUCACAAAUUAUUUUAGACUUCAUAGCCAAUGUAAACAGGUUUGUUUUCAACUCCCCUAAUUGCCUGCUAAUUGAGAGCAGAUGCAGGCCUUAACUUUGAGCAGAUAAAGAGCAGCCUCUUCUCUGGGGCUCCGCGUCUAUCAGGAGGUCUCUGAUGUGUGCUCUGAGCUUCCCUGCUUAGUGAUGCUGAGGCAGAGGGGGAUUGCAACGGCUCCUCUUGCCUGAACCUCAGUGAGACAGAAGGGAAGACAGAGCUGUGGGACUCAUCAGUAACAUCAUCAUCAUUAUUGUUUCAUUUCGUACUCCAGUGCACUUUCUGCAACAGCGCAGGUCUCCUUCUGGGGGGGGAGUUCUCCGAAUUAUAGAUGGGCUUCUCGUUAUGAUAGAAAUCACUGGGUUUAUGAAAAAUGCAUUGCUGUCAUAUUCCAUUAUCUACUUCCUCCCAUGCUGCAAUCCCGUAGCUUGCAAGUCAUUAGAUUCUUUUUC